AAUGAACGCUGGCGGCGUGCCUAAUACAUGCAAGUCGAGCGAACAGACGAGGAGCUUGCUCCUCUGACGUUAGCGGCGGACGGGUGGGUAACACGUGGAUAACCUACCUAUAUGACUGGGAUAACUUCGGGAAACCGGUGCUACUACCGGAUAAUAUGUUGAACCGCAUGGUUCAAUAGUGAAAGACGGUUUUGCUGUUACUUUUAGAUGGAUUCGCGCCGGAUUAGCUAGUUGGUAAGGUCACGGCUUACCAAGGCAACGAUGCUUAUCCGACAUGAGAGGUUGAGCAGCCACACUGGAACUGAGACACGGUCCAGACUCCGACGGGAGGCAGCAGUGGGGAAUCUUCGACAAUGGGCGCAAGUUUGAUGCAGCAAUGCCGCGUGGGUGAAGAAGGUCUUCGGGUUGUAAAACCCUUUUAUUGGGAAAGAAAAGCAGAAGAUUAAAAACCCCCUGUUCUGAGGGUACCAAAAAAAAAAGCACGGGCUAACUUCGUG
This 497-nucleotide ribosomal RNA is filed under the name uncultured bacterium. RNAcentral's name for it is "partial 16S ribosomal RNA". It matches the Rfam family "Bacterial small subunit ribosomal RNA", at positions 29 to 507 of the family's 1533-position model. The record is from RNAcentral.